UGGAGAGGACCCAACCAAACCACACAGUGGACUCACAAUAAUUACUGGAUAUUCAAUGUUUCUGAGUCCAGCAGUGGAGACUACAUGUGUAAGAGUCGACGCAGAGAUGACUCAUAUUCUUCAACAGAGUGGAGUGACGCCUUCAACUUGUCAGUAUCAACUGUGCCCAGUCCUGAGAGGUCUUCAUUUCUUAUUUUGAUGAUCAUUGGAAUAAUUUCUGGAGUCAUAUUUAUAUUCUUGCUGCUCUUGUUCUGUUGCUACAGAAAAUCCAGAGGUUCUACUGAUGACCAGAGGGUCAGUCAGGUAGAAGAUCAACAGCAAGUAUACUCCUCUCUUCUUCAUGGUGACCGUUGUGUCUAUGAGUCUAUCAGAUGGUCUAAAAACACAGAAAAUGGUCUGGGUCACGGUAGCAGCAGAGAAGCCCACACCUCCCUCUCCCCACCCACCUCCUCCAGUUUAUCCGCAGGAACGCUGAGGUGCUCGCAGGCCAGCCGAGACACUUAAUCUGUCAAGUGUAUUCUGGGUCUGCCCUGG
Molecule: long non-coding RNA, 534 nt
Organism: Oreochromis aureus
Lineage: Eukaryota; Metazoa; Chordata; Actinopteri; Cichliformes; Cichlidae
Source: Ensembl